This 95-nucleotide transfer RNA is filed under the name Saccharothrix coeruleofusca. RNAcentral's name for it is "tRNA-Ser". The record is from RNAcentral. Lineage: Bacteria; Bacillati; Actinomycetota; Actinomycetes; Pseudonocardiales; Pseudonocardiaceae.
CACCCGCUCGGUGACGUUGGAGGCGUUGACCGGGCUGCUGGCCAGGUUGCUCAGCUGGGCCUUGACCUUGUCCAGCUCGGCCCUGGUGCUGGUGA